CCCUUAGAUGUCCGGGGCCGCACGCGCGCUACACUGAAGGAAUCAGCGUGGCUUUCUCCCUGACCCGAAAGGGUUGGGAAACCCGUUGAAUCUCCUUCGUGAUAGGGAUUGGGGCUUGAAAUUGUUCCCCAUGAACGAGGAAUUCCCAGUAAGCGCGAGUCAUAAGCUCGCGUUGAUUACGUCCCUGCCCUUUGUACACACCGCCCGUCGCUACUACCGAUUGAACGGUUUAGUGAGGGCCUCGGAUUGGUCUCGGCCCGCUCUUUACCGGGCGGCGCCGUUAGUCGAGAAGACGCUCGAACUUGAUCGUUUAGAGGAAGUAAAAGUCGUAACA
RNAcentral lists this ribosomal RNA (334 nucleotides) under uncultured eukaryote. RNAcentral's name for it is "partial 18S ribosomal RNA". It matches the Rfam family "Eukaryotic small subunit ribosomal RNA", at positions 1470 to 1796 of the family's 1831-position model. The record is from RNAcentral.